RNAcentral lists this ribosomal RNA (596 nucleotides) under Staphylococcus aureus. RNAcentral describes it as "bacterial SSU rRNA". It matches the Rfam family "Bacterial small subunit ribosomal RNA", at positions 1 to 579 of the family's 1533-position model. Lineage: Bacteria; Bacillati; Bacillota; Bacilli; Caryophanales; Staphylococcaceae. The record is from RNAcentral.
UUUAUGGAGAGUUUGAUCCUGGCUCAGGAUGAACGCUGGCGGCGUGCCUAAUACAUGCAAGUCGAGCGAACGGACGAGAAGCUUGCUUCUCUGAUGUUAGCGGCGGACGGGUGAGUAACACGUGGAUAACCUACCUAUAAGACUGGGAUAACUUCGGGAAACCGGAGCUAAUACCGGAUAAUAUUUUGAACCGCAUGGUUCAAAAGUGAAAGACGGUCUUGCUGUCACUUAUAGAUGGAUCCGCGCUGCAUUAGCUAGUUGGUAAGGUAACGGCUUACCAAGGCAACGAUGCAUAGCCGACCUGAGAGGGUGAUCGGCCACACUGGAACUGAGACACGGUCCAGACUCCUACGGGAGGCAGCAGUAGGGAAUCUUCCGCAAUGGGCGAAAGCCUGACGGAGCAACGCCGCGUGAGUGAUGAAGGUCUUCGGAUCGUAAAACUCUGUUAUUAGGGAAGAACAUAUGUGUAAGUAACUGUGCACAUCUUGACGGUACCUAAUCAGAAAGCCACGGCUAACUACGUGCCAGCAGCCGCGGUAAUACGUAGGUGGCAAGCGUUAUCCGGAAUUAUUGGGCGUAAAGCGCGCGUAGGCGGU